Molecule: unclassified non-coding RNA, 328 nt
Filed under: soil metagenome
Description: partial contains 5.8S ribosomal RNA, internal transcribed spacer 2, and large subunit ribosomal RNA
Rfam family: 5.8S ribosomal RNA (bases 1-120)
Source: RNAcentral
GAUGAAGAACGCAGCGAAAUGCGAUAAGUAAUGUGAAUUGCAGAAUUCAGUGAAUCAUCGAAUCUUUGAACGCACAUUGCGCCCUCUGGUAUUCCGGGGGGCAUGCCUGUUCGAGCGUCAUUAUAACCACUCAAGCUCUCGCUUGGUAUUGGGGUUCGCGGUUUCGCGGCCCCUAAAAUCAGUGGCGGUGCCUGUCGGCUCUACGCGUAGUAAUACUUCUCGCGAUUGAGUUCGAUAGGUCUACUUGCCAGUAACCCCCAAUUUUACAGGUUGACCUCGGAUCAGGUAGGGAUACCCGCUGAACUUAAGCAUAUCAAUAAGCGGAGGA